RNAcentral lists this long non-coding RNA (576 nucleotides) under Coffea arabica (coffee). RNAcentral describes it as "long non-coding RNA (CARA_LNC006788)". The record is from RNAcentral. Lineage: Eukaryota; Viridiplantae; Streptophyta; Magnoliopsida; Gentianales; Rubiaceae.
GUGAUAUAAAUGAGAGUGUAUGAACCUAGAGAAAUGCAUCAAGUCGGGUACGGGAAUGACUUCUAACUUCAUGAUUUUAAUUUUCCCUUUGAUUAGAAGGAAGAACUAGCGUGCUGAGGCUAUUUUGUAGCCACACUCGCUCGUUUCCCUUACCGAAAGGGGACGCUCAAGCAAAUGUACCUUAUAACUAGCAUGAGGAUGCAAAAAACCUAAAAUGAAGGGGAAAUGAUUGGAGGAGCAUACCAAAUGCUAGAAAACUAAGAAAAAUGUAUGAAAUAUAGUGAGACAUGCAAGUAUGUACUAACGAGAGGGGACGGCCUAUUUGGUCUAGCAUUGGACUAGCCCUUUUCUAAAAUUCUCUCACAAGCAUUGGACUUGCGAGAGCUCGAGGGGACAACCAUGACUAGCAUUGGACUAGCCACGGUUACGUGCAUUUGUCCAUCACAUUCAUCUAUGACUAUAGAAAGCAGGUAGACAUACCAAUCACCUAUAACACGUAGCACAUAACACUUAGCAUGCUCGACUAAAUGCAAGAGCCUAAUAAAGCAAAUUAGCACGUAGCAACAAAAGCAAGCA